Molecule: long non-coding RNA, 278 nt
Organism: Sphaerodactylus townsendi
Lineage: Eukaryota; Metazoa; Chordata; Lepidosauria; Squamata; Sphaerodactylidae
Exons: 3
Source: RefSeq, a predicted model, not a curated record
UUUUGUAAUAUUAUAUUGGGCUUAUGUAAAUUGAUGAUGACAAAAAGACCUGAGAAGCUAAAACUCACAAUUUUUAUUGUCAUUAUUGUUUUAUCAUUUUCUUUGUUAAUAUACUAUUAUUGUUGUUAUUUAAUUUUUCCUUUUUCUUUUUUCCUUCUUUCCCACCUUUUUUCUUCUCUCUAGUUAAUAUAUUACUGUAAAUAGAUUUGAUUUUAUUAAAUUGAUGUAAUACAGCUGAUCUGAUAUCUCUUUUUAUGUAUCUGUUAAUUUUAAUUAUU